RNAcentral lists this ribosomal RNA (500 nucleotides) under uncultured bacterium. RNAcentral describes it as "partial 16S ribosomal RNA". It matches the Rfam family "Bacterial small subunit ribosomal RNA", at positions 30 to 523 of the family's 1533-position model. The record is from RNAcentral.
AUUGAACGCUGGCGGAAUGCUUUACACAUGCAAGUCGAACGGCAGCACGGACUUCGGUCUGGUGGCGAGUGGCGAACGGGUGAGUAAUGUAUCGGCACGUGCCCAGUCGUGGGGGCUAACGUAGUGAAAAUUACGCUAAUACCGCAUACGAUCUAUUAAUGAAAGCGGGGGAUCGCAAGACCUCGCGCGAUUAGAGAUGCCGAUAUCAGAUUAGGUAGUUGGUGGGGUAAAGGCCCACCAAGCCAACGAUCUGUAGCUGGUCUGUGAGGACGACCAGCGACACUGGAACUAAGACACGGUCCAGACUACUACGGGAGGCAGCAGUGGGGAAUUUUGGACAGUGGGCGAAAGCCUGAUCCAGCCAUUCCGCGUGCAGGAUGAAGGCCCUCGGGUUGUAAACUGCUUUUGUACAGAACGAAAAGGUUUCUACUAAUACUAGGAGCUCAUGACGGUACUGUAAGAAUAAGCACCGGCUAACUACGUGCCAGCCGCCGCCGUAA